GUUGUAUGGUUAAGUGACUAAGCGUACACGGUGGAUGCCUGGGCAGUCAGAGGCGAUGAAGGACGUACUAACUUGCGAUAAGCGCAGAUAAGGCAGUAAGAGCCGUUUGAGUCUGCGAUUUCCGAAUGGGGAAACCCAACUGCAUAAGCAGUUACUGUUAACUGAAUNNCUCGGUGAAGUAGGUGAACAAGCUGGAAAGCUUGGCGAUACAGGGUGAUAGCCCCGUAACCGACGCUUCAUCGAGCGUGAAAUCGAGUAGGGCGGGACACGUGAUAUCCUGUCUGAAUAUGGGGGGACCAUCCUCCAAGGCUAAAUACUCCUGACUGACCGAUAGUGAACCAGUACCGUGAGGGAAAGGCGAAAAGAACCCCUGUGAGGGGAGUGAAAUAGAACCUGAAACCGUGUACGUACAAGCAGUAGGAGCACCUUCGUGGUGUGACUGCGUACCUUUUGUAUAAUGGGUCAGCGACUUAUAUUCAGUGGCAAGGUUAACCGUAUAGGGGAGCCGUAGCGAAAGCGAGUCUUAACUGGGCGCUCAGUCUCUGGAUAUAGACCCGAAACCGGGUGAUCUAGCCAUGGGCAGGUUGAAGGUUGAGUAACAUCAACUGGAGGACCGAACCGACUAAUGUUGAAAAAUUAGCGGAUGACUUGUGGCUAGGGGUGAAAGGCCAAUCAAACUCGGAGAUAGCUGGUUCUCCCCGAAAGCUAUUUAGGUAGCGCCUCGGACGAAUACUACUGGGGGUAGAGCACUGUUAAGGCUAGGGGGUCAUCCCGACUUACCAACCCUUUGCAAACUCCGAAUACCAGUAAGUACUAUCCGGGAGACACACGGCGGGUGCUAACGUCCGUCGUGGAGAGGGAAACAACCCAGACCGCCAGCUAAGGUCCCAAAGUAUUGCUAAGUGGGAAACGAUGUGGGAAGGCUCAGACAGCUAGGAUGUUGGCUUAGAAGCAGCCAUCAUUUAAAGAAAGCGUAAUAGCUCACUAGUCGAGUCGGCCUGCGCGGAAGAUGUAACGGGGCUAAGCAAUACACCGAAGCUGCGGCAAUAUCUUUUAGAUAUUGGGUAGGGGAGCGUUCUGUAAGCCGUUGAAGGUGAAUCGUAAGGUUUGCUGGAGGUAUCAGAAGUGCGAAUGCUGACAUGAGUAACGACAAAGGGGGUGAAAAACCUCCUCGCCGGAAGACCAAGGGUUCCUGUCCAACGUUAAUCGGGGCAGGGUGAGUCGACCCCUAAGGUGAGGCCGAAAGGCGUAAUCGAUGGGAAACGGGUUAAUAUUCCCGUACUUCUGACUAUUGCGAUGGGGGGACGGAGAAGGCUAGGUGGGCCAGGCGACGGUUGUCCUGGUUCAAGUGCGUAGGCUUGAGAGUUAGGUAAAUCCGGCUCUCUCUAAGGCUGAGACACGACGUCGAGCUGCUACGGCAGUGAAGUCAUUGAUGCCAUGCUUCCAGGAAAAGCCUCUAAGCUUCAGAUAGUCAGGAAUCGUACCCCAAACCGACACAGGUGGUCGGGUAGAGAAUACCAAGGCGCUUGAGAGAACUCGGGUGAAGGAACUAGGCAAAAUGGUACCGUAACUUCGGGAGAAGGUACGCUCUUGAUGGUGAAGUCCCUCGCGGAUGGAGCUGACGAGAGUCGCAGAUACCAGGUGGCUGCAACUGUUUAUUAAAAACACAGCACUGUGCAAAAUCGCAAGAUGACGUAUACGGUGUGACGCCUGCCCGGUGCCGGAAGGUUAAUUGAUGGGGUUAGCGCAAGCGAAGCUCUUGAUCGAAGCCCCGGUAAACGGCGGCCGUAACUAUAACGGUCCUAAGGUAGCGAAAUUCCUUGUCGGGUAAGUUCCGACCUGCACGAAUGGCGUAAUGAUGGCCACGCUGUCUCCACCCGAGACUCAGUGAAAUUGAAAUCGCUGUGAAGAUGCAGUGUACCCGCGGCUAGACGGAAAGACCCCGUGAACCUUUACUACAGCUUGGCACUGAACAUUGAACCUACAUGUGUAGGAUAGGUGGGAGGCUAUGAAGACGUGACGCCAGUUGCGUUGGAGCCGUCCUUGAAAUACCACCCUUGUAUGUUUGAUGUUCUAACUUAGACCCAUUAUCUGGGUUGAGGACAGUGCCUGGUGGGUAGUUUGACUGGGGCGGUCUCCUCCCAAAGAGUAACGGAGGAGCACGAAGGUGGGCUAAUCACGGUUGGACAUCGUGAGGUUAGUGCAAUGGCAUAAGCCCGCUUAACUGCGAGAAUGACGGUUCGAGCAGGUGCGAAAGCAGGUCAUAGUGAUCCGGUGGUUCUGUAUGGAAGGGCCAUCGCUCAACGGAUAAAAGGUACUCCGGGGAUAACAGGCUGAUACCGCCCAAGAGUUCAUAUCGACGGCGGUGUUUGGCACCUCGAUGUCGGCUCAUCACAUCCUGGGGCUGAAGUCGGUCCCAAGGGUAUGGCUGUUCGCCAUUUAAAGUGGUACGCGAGCUGGGUUUAGAACGUCGUGAGACAGUUCGGUCCCUAUCUGCCGUGGGCGUUGGAAGAUUGAAGGGGGCUGCUCCUAGUACGAGAGGACCGGAGUGGACGAACCUCUGGUGUUCGGGUUGUGUCGCCAGACGCAUUGCCCGGUAGCUAAGUUCGGAAUUGAUAAGCGCUGAAAGCAUCUAAGCGCGAAGCGAGCCCUGAGAUGAGUCUUCCCUGAUACUUUAAGUAUCCUAAAGGGUUGUUCGAGACUAGAACGUUGAUAGGCAGGGUGUGUAAGCGUUGUGAGGCGUUGAGCUAACCUGUACUAAUUGCCCGUGAGGCUUAACCAUACAACACCCAAGGGGUUUUGUA
RNAcentral lists this ribosomal RNA (2804 nucleotides) under Vibrio cholerae. RNAcentral's name for it is "bacterial LSU rRNA". It matches the Rfam family "Bacterial large subunit ribosomal RNA". Lineage: Bacteria; Pseudomonadati; Pseudomonadota; Gammaproteobacteria; Vibrionales; Vibrionaceae. The record is from RNAcentral.